GUUUACAAUAAUGAGAAAAUAACAUAUUUAUGCUAAAUAACCUAGAAUAAUAUUAAAAGGAAAUAAAUUCUAAAAAAAAAAAAGUGUCCUAAAAUAUCUAAAUUACCAAAAAUAAGAAAUUGGACCAAAAUAAAACUUCUCUAGAUCACAUCAUAAGUACUAUAAGCAUGAAGGGUAUUUGUUCCGGGAAAAUAGGUUAUGUAUUCCUAACUGUUCGAUGUGAGAGUUGCUAGUAAAAUAAGCACAUAGUAGUCGAUUGAUGGGGCAUUUUGGGGUACAAAAAACUUCACGGAUGUGAGGGGAGCAUUUCUAUUGGCUUAAGAUGAAAAGUGACAUUGAGAAAAUUUGUAGUCGAUGCAUAACUUGUAAGAGGACUAAGUCUAGAGUUUUACUCCAAGGAUUAUAUACACCAUUACGUGCACCUAGUAAACCAUGGAUUGACAUUUCAAUGGAUUUUGUUUUGGGUCUACCUAGGACUAAGAAAGGACACGAUUCAAUUUUUGUGAUGAUGGAUAGAUUUAGUAAGAUGACGCAUUUCAUACUAUGUCAUAAAACUGAUGACGCCACUUACAUAGCAAAUUUGUUUUUUAAAGAGAUAGUGUGCUUACAUGGGGUCCCUAAAAGUAUAAUGUUAGAUAGGGAUGUAAUAUUUUUGAGUCAUUUUUGGCGAGUUUUGUGGGGUAAGUUAGGCACUAAACUGUUGUUUUUUUACAACUUGUAAUCCACAAACCGAUGGACAAACUGAGGUAGUCAAUAGGACUAUGACUCAAAUGUUACGUAUGAUGAUAAAUAAGAAUUUGAAAGGUUGGGAGGAGUGUUAAUCAUUUGUUGAGUUUGCUUAUAAUCGAUCUGUUCAUUCUACUACUUCAUUUUCUCCUUUUGAAAUUGUUUAUGAUUUUAAUCCACUAACUCCAUUGGACAUAAUACAAUUACAUGUGAAUGAACGUUGUAGUUUAAAUGGUAAAAGAAAAGCUAAACUGCUAAAGUCACUUCAUGAAAAUGUUAAGUUGCAAAUCAAGAACAAGGGUAAGCUCAUUGCCUCACAGGCAAACAAAGGCAGGAAAAGCAUUACAUUUAAACCAGGUGACUGGAUUUGGGUGCAUUUUAGAAAGGAGCGCUUUCCAGAGUACAAGAAAUCAAAGUUGCAACCACGAAAAGACGGUCAAUUUCUAGUCAUUGAGAAGAUCAAUGACAAUGCUUAUAAGCUGGACCUUCCAGGUGAGUAUAAUGUUUCAGGAACAUUUAAUGCGUUUGAUCUCUCUCUCUCUCUCUCUCUCUCUCUCUCUUUGAUGCAGGUGCAGAUUCGAGAACGAACCCUUUUGAAGAGGGAGGAGAUGAUGUGAUCCAAGAGCCGAGCGCAAAAAGACGAGCCCGACACGAGACCCUUUAAUAAUUGAAGAUGUUCCU
RNAcentral lists this long non-coding RNA (1407 nucleotides) under Olea europaea subsp. europaea. The record is from RNAcentral. Lineage: Eukaryota; Viridiplantae; Streptophyta; Magnoliopsida; Lamiales; Oleaceae.